This 4395-nucleotide long non-coding RNA is filed under the name Sus scrofa (pig). RNAcentral's name for it is "lncRNA (ENSSSCG00015079983.1)". The record is from RNAcentral. Lineage: Eukaryota; Metazoa; Chordata; Mammalia; Artiodactyla; Suidae.
UUUUUUUUUUUAUGUUUUCCUUUGCUGUGCAAAAUCUUGUAAGUUUGAUUAGGUCCCAUUGGUUUAAUUUUUGUUUAAUUUCUAUUGCUUUUGGAGACUGACCUAAGAAAACAUUUGUGUGGUUGAUGUCAGAGAAUGUUUUGCUCCCAGCCAAUGUAAUACUCCAUAGAGAAAAGCUGCACCCCUUCCCACUAAAAUCUGGAAUAAGACAAGGAUGCCCACUCUCACCCACUUUUAUUCAACAUAUAUUGGAAGUCCUGACCAUAGCAAUCAGACAAACAAAAGAAAUAAAAGUUCCAGUUUGAAAGAGAAGAGGUAAAAUUGUCACUCUAUGCAGAUGACAUGAUAUUAUAUAUAGAAAACCCUAAGGGCUCCACACAAAAAUUACUCGAACCAAUCAAUGAAUUCAGUAAAAUAGCAGGAUACAAAAUUAACAUUCAGAAAUCAGUUUCAUUUCUGUAUACUAACAAUGAAAUAUUAGAAAAAAUAUAAAAAUAUAAUUCCUUUUAAAAUUGCACCACAAAAAAUUAAAAACAUAAGAAUAAACCUGGCCAAGGAAGUGAAAGACUUAUGCACUGGGUACUAUAAAACAUUAAUCAAAGAAAUUAAAGAUGAUUCAAAGAAAUGGAAAGAUGUUCCAUGCUCCUGGAUUGGAAGAAUUAAUAUUGUUAAAAUGGCCAUACUACCCAAAGUAAUCUACAGAUUCAAUGCAAUCCCUAUCAAAGUACCCAUGACAUUUUCACAGAACUAGAACAAAUAAUCCAAAAAUUUAUACGGAACCAUAAAAGACCCAGAAUUGCCAAAGUAAUUCUGAGGGGGAAAAACCAACAGAGGCAUAACUCUCCCAGACUUCAGACAAUAUUACAAAGCCACAGUAAUCAAGACAGUGUGGUACUGGUACAAAAACAGACAUACAGACCAAUGGAACAGAAUAAAGAACUGAGAAAUAAACCCAGACUCCUAUGGUCAAUUAUUCUUUGACCAAGGAGGCAAGAUUAUAAAGGAGGAAAAAGACAGUCUCUUCAGCAAGUGGUGCUGAGAAAACUGGACAGCUGUAUGUAAAUCGAUGAAACUAGAACACCCUCAUACCAUGCACAAAAGUAAACUCAAAAUGGCUUAAAGACUUAAACAUAAGACAAGACACCAUAAAACUCCUAGAAGAGAAUAUAGUCUUUUUAUUUUUUAAAUGAUGUUCUUUGAAACACAAAAGUUUUUAAUUUUGAUGAAUUUGAAUGUGUCUAUUUUCUUUUUUCACUUGUGCUUUUGAUCAUAUCUACAAAGACUUUGUCUAACCUAAGGUCACGAAAAUUUAUUCAUAUAUUUUCUUUUUUAAUUAUUGAACUAUAGUCGAUUUACAAUAUUGUGUUAGUUUCAUGUGUGCAGCAAAGUGAUUCAAAUAUAGAUAUGUAUUCUGUAUAUAGAUGUAAUAUAUAAAUAUUCCUUUUCAGAUUAUUUUCAGUUAUAUAUACUCUUAGGAGUUUUGUAGAUUUGCUGUAACAUUUAGGUCUAUAAACGAUUUUGAGUUGAUCUUGGUGGCACGAGGAACUGUUCCAACUUCACUCUUUAGUAUACAAAUAUCCAGUUGUCCCAGAACCAUUUGUAAAAUAUACUAUUCAAACUAUUCUUACCCACAUUGAAUUGUCUCAGCACUUUUGUCAAAAAGCAAUUGAUUAUGUAUGUAAGGAUUUAUUUCUGGACUUUGAAUCCCAUUCCAUUGAUCUAUGAUCCAUGAACAUGAAAUUACUCCUUUUUUUUUUUAGAUCUUCUUUAAUUAAUUGGAAAAAUGUUUUGUAAUUUUCAGAGUAUAAAUUUGCACUUUUUUCCUAAGUAUUCUUUUUGAUGCUACUAUAAAUAGAAUUAUUUUAUUAAUUUCAUUUGCAGAUUGUUCACUGAUAAUUUAUAGAAAGAGUUGAUUUUUGCAUAUUUGAUCUUAUACUUGGCAACCUUGCUGAACUAAUUAUUUUUUUCUAAUAGUUAUUUAGUAAAUUAUUUAGGAUUUUCUAUAUAGAGUAUCAUGUCACCUGCAAAUAGAUAGUUUGAAUUCUUCCAUUCCAAUCUGAAUAUCUCUUUAUUUCUCAUUCUUGCCUAAUUGCCCUGCCUAGAACCUCCAGUACAAGGCUGAAAAGCAGUGUUGAAAGUAGGUAUCUUUGCCUCUUUCCUCGGCUUAGGGGAAGCUUUCAGUCUUAAGCAACUAAAUACGGUCAUCUUUCAGUAUCAUUGAGGGAUUAGUUUCAGUACUCCCCAAAUGCCUCAUAAAUACUAAAACCCAUGAUAUUAAAGUCCCUUGUAGUCAUCCCUCCAUAUCUGUGAAUGUGAACCCAUAUCAUAGGAUGCAAACCUGUACAUUGUUAGCUGUGGGUUUUUCAAACAUCCCUUUAUCACAUUGGAGAAGUUCCCCACUAGUAUGCUGAAGUUUUAAUUAUGAAAGAAUGUUACAUUUUGUCAAAUGCUUUUGGGGUAUCUAUUGGGAUGAUCACAUGGGUUUUGUUCCUUUAAUCUAUGGAUACGUUAUAUUAAUAUUCACCAUGUGAAACUCAUCUUGAAUUUCUGAGAUAAAUCCUACUUAGGCAUGAUGUUUAAUCCUUUUUAAGAGUCAGUGGAUUUGGCUUGCUAAUAUUUUGCUGAGAAUUUUUCUGUCUCUAUAAGACAUAUUGUUCUAUAGUUUUCUUUAUUGUCUGUCUGGUUUUGGUAUUAGGGUAAUAAAAACUUCAUAGAAUGAGUUGAGAAGUGAUCCCUCAUCUAUUUUUAAAAGAGUUUGUGAGUAAUUGGUAUUCUUUUUAAAAUUUGUUAGAAUUCAACAAUAAAACCAUUUGGGUCUGGGCUUCUCUUUGAAAGAAAUUUUAGAAGUGCUAAUACUAUCUCUUGUUAUAGGUCAUUCAGAUUUUGUUUAUCCUUUUGUCAGCUUUGGUAGUUGCAUAUUUUUUAGGAAUUUAUCUAUUUCAUGUAAUUUAUGUAAUUUGUUGGCACACACUUGUUCACAGUAUUUCCUAAUAUUCUUUUUUAAAUUUCACUCCUAUUAAUAGUUAUUUCCCCCUUUUAUGCCUGAUUUUAGUAAUGGGAGCCUUCUUUUUUUUUUUCUCAGACAGUCCAGUUAAAGUUUUGUCAAUUUUGUUGAUCUUUUCAAAGGAACCCCCUUUUGGUUUCAUUUAUUUUCUCUAUUGCUAUUCUAUAUUUUAUAGAUUUCUCCUCUCAUCUUUACAUUUCCUUCCUUCUUCCUGCUUUAGGUUUAUUUUACUCUUCUUUCUUCAUUGUCUCAUGAUGGAAGGUUAAUUUAUUUACUUGAGAACUUUAUUCUUUUAUAACAUGGGUGCAUACAGCUGUAAAUAUCCCUUAAAGCACUACUUUUAGCUGCAUCCUAUAAGUUUUAGCAUAUUGUUCCUUCAUUUUCAUUCAUCUCAAAGUAUUUUCUAAUUUCCCUCAUUGUUCCUUCUUUACUAAAUAUUAUUUAGUAAUAUUUUAAGUUUUGCAUAUGUGUGAAUUUCCCAAAUUUGUUGCCAUUAUCAAUUUCUGGUUUCACUUUAUGUGGUCAGAGAACACUUUUUGCAUGCUGGAUAUAGAUACACACACACGUAUACAUGCUUUUUUUUUAUGGCAUAGUACAUGCUUUGUUAUCCUAGAAAGUAUGCCCAAUGCACUUGAUAAGAAUGUUUAGUCUACUGUUUUAGGGUGAAGCAUUCUAUGAAUGUCUGUGAAGUCUAGUUGGUUUAUAACACUCAAGUCUUCUGUUACUUUGUUGAUCUUCCUAGUUGUUCUAGCAAUUGUUAAAGUGGGAUAUUGAAGUCUGCAUUAUUGUUGGAUUGUCUAUUUCUCUCUUUAAUUCUGUCAGUUUUUGUUUUGUGUAUUUUGGAACUUUUGUUAGAUACAUAUUUUAUAAUUGCCAUUUAUCCAUGGUUGACUGACCCUUUUAUCAUUAGAAAACUUUCCUCUUUAUCUCUCUAUUAACAUUAUUUGCUUUAAAAUCUAUUUUGUCUGAUAGUAGUAUAGCAACUCUAGCUUUCACAGAUAUUGCAUAUUUUACAAACAAGAUUUUUGGCAACCCUGUGUCGAGCAAGUCUAUUGUCACUGUUUUUCCAAGAGGUCCUUACUUUGCAUCUAUGUCAAAUUUUGGUAAUAAUAUUUCAAACUUUUAAAUUAUUAUUAUAUUUGUUAUGGUUAUCUGUAAUUAGUGAUCUUUGAUGUUGCUAUUGCAAUUGUUUUAGGGUUCCACAAACUAUGACCAUAUAAGAUGGCAAAUUUGAUAAACGUGUAUGUUCCAACUGCUCAACUUACAAGCCAUUCCUCACUCUCUCUCUCCCCCAACCUAAGAUAUAACAAUAUCAAAAUUAGGCCAAUUAAUAACCCUACAGUGGCCUCUAAGUAUUCAAGUGAAAAGAAGAGGAGUUCCUAUCGUGGUUC